CGCAGGGCACGUGGCUCGAACAGCACGCAGCCAAUCAGAGAGGCACGGUGAGAAGAGCGCUCCCCCCUCGCCAUAAAAUGUCGGCCCCCAGUGUGUUGCACGGGGAGGGAUUUCUUGUUCCCAUGGCCACUGCAGAAGCUAGACACAGAGGCCGGUUUGGGCUGCCAGUCACAAGAGAAGGCGUACUUGGCAGGAGGCGGGGGCGUUCUGCCUGCUGGAGGGUAGGACUGGUGGGAGGUUCUUGGAAGCCUGGGAGCGGUGACAGGGGCCGCUGAUAGUCUGCGGCAAGAGGUGUCUCAGGAAGCCGCCCAACCUUCCGGCUGAGCCAAGUCGUCCACAGUGGUUUCCCGGCGGUCAGGGUGGUUUAUGUCAUGAUUCCUUGGUUCCAAGCGGCGUUGCUCCUUUGUGGCCGGUGGCAAGGAGGACAGUGCUGGGAGCUCGAGGCAGUGCCUUCGGCAGCUGUGCUCUUCAAAGCCAGUGGCGCUUCUGGUCCUUGGCAAAAGGAGCUGCACUUCCUUCUCCCAGAAGUGGUGUUGCAGAAGUUUGGCAGUGCAAGUGAGGACUUUUUCCUGCAAAUGCAAGGCAAUCUUGGCAGCAGCAGCUGAAAUUGUUUCUCUGAGUCGGUUCAGCCUCGGCUGCUCUCAGCACUGGGAAAAGAGCACCAGCACUGCACAGCAAGAGAGGUUUCCACUCUGUCUCUUUCUCUCUCUUUCUUUGUUUCUUUCUCUCUCUCUCUCUUUCCUUGUUUCUUUCUCUCUCUCUCUCUCUCUUUCUUUCUCUCUCUCUCUCUCUCUUUCUCUCUUUCUUUCCUUCCUUGUUUCCUUGUCUCUUUCCUUCCCUGUUUCCUUCUUACAUUGUUUCCUUGUUUUCUCCCUUCCUUUGUUCCUUCUUCCUAUGUUUCUACAAAGACCUUACACUUCUCAGAGAAAAUCAUUGUGGUUUCUUCUUCUUGUUGUUUUUUGGUACGUUGGUUUUUCAAUUGCCAGGGCCACGUGGAUUCCUGGCUUAUCGUCUCUUUUAACAGUUUUUCCUCUUUGUUGCUGUGUAACCUGAGCCCCUGAAGCAGACUCUGGACUCACCAUUACCGACAACAACCUGCCUGCUCACACCAUGUGCCCCAAAAUAGCCUGGCCUGAGCUGGUGACAUCCACAACAUGACGGUGCUGAGACUAGCCCAUUGCAGCACCUGCUAGCCUCCAUGCAGGCAGACAGGUCCUCUGGCUCCCAAAGGGUUGGCCCAGUUCCAGGAGCAAUUUCAGGGACAGAGUCCAAAAGUCCACUCUUAUUCACAAAAUGUAUUAUGUCCCUUAUGCUCUAUUAUUUAGCAUAAUAAAGUUUGAUUUCAUAGGUCAAAAAACAGUAUGAAGAAAUGAAACUGGUAUAUGUUUGUCUCAACUGAGUAAGCAAAGGAUACACUCAUAAGCUGUAGCUUUUGGAAGCUAGUCUAAAGAAGCAAAGUAACAAAAAAUGCCAAAGUAACAAAAACUGGCCAAGAUGCCAGGUCUUGGCCUAUGCCUCCAAAACCGCAAUCAAUACCACUACAACCCUUUGACAGCCAUGGUCUAAAGCCAUUCCAGUCCCAGUGAAAGGCCCCACUGCCAGGCCAGGCAUCCAACAGUGACAGCAUCUGUUGCUCCUAUAUGCAAGAUGAAACAAUGGAUGAGAAGUCAGGUCAUUUAGAAAGCAGAGGAACUCCUACUAAGAAAGGGGAGAAGAGCGCAAGGCAGGCUACUCUGAAGUGGCUGGCCCAUCAGACAAGCAGGAAGAUGAAGAUAUGAAGGCAUUAAUGACUCCUGAAGCAUCGCCUGGUGCACCUCUGUACUGACAUUGGUGUCUGCAGGGAGGUUUCCCACUCUUUGCUCUCCCAGCUGCUGUUGUGCAGCAGUUUUUUCUAGUUUUUUUCCCUUUUUUUGGAUGUGCUCUCACAGAGGAACAAACUGCAUUGCUCAUGGUUUGCCUCUGGGCAGCAGUGGACCCCUUUGGAAGCGGCUGACACUGGCCCUUAUUCUCACAGUGGCUACCACUGUAGCCCCUCUACUACCAGAAUCUUGCCACAUAAACCCAAUACACUGGGGCAGCUAGCCUGUAGAGUACCAGGGCUUGAAUUAACUAAUGAAACCCUAAAUAUAAUGGGGUGUAGAGGGGGCUGGGAUAACAGUACUACUCUUGGGUGACACCAAGCUGAGUCUAGGGACAGAAUGCUCACUGGGCAAUUAUUGUAUGUACCCGAGGCAGGGACUAUAUUGUUGGGAAAGGAUUUGAUAAUGAAAGUGGGCAUUCAAAUAGUGACUUGUUAGACUGGAAUAACGGUGUUAUUAAUGGGUUGCCUUUGAGAGGAAAGACCCUGAAAUGGGGCAGAAGCAA
Anas platyrhynchos (mallard) is the source of this 2364-nucleotide non-coding RNA. NCBI's taxonomy places the organism in Eukaryota, Metazoa, Chordata, Aves, Anseriformes, Anatidae. The record is from RefSeq and is a predicted model, not a curated record.